AGUUGGUUAAAAGUCUGUAGACAGAAAAUAACGUCGCUGUCCCUUUAAGAAACCAGCGUUACAGGUGCAGUGUCUGGGUGACGCUGCAGUACGCAGACCCGAAGGAGAGAGCAGAGGAGGAAUCGGAGAAAAAAAAGAGCGGUGAUUAAUUAACAGAAAAAAGUUAAUAUUUUAGUAAACAAAACAUAAUUUACCUGGUCGGGAACUGACGAGGAUUUUAUGAGAACUAAGCCAUAUCGGUUUUGGUCAGGUUUUUUGUUUGGAUUGGAAGUUUGGUCGGAGCGAGGAUUACCCCUUGCUCACACUGGCUCCGGUGCGGUUACCGAGCCGACGGAGACCGCAACUCCCGCACACCCCCUCUCACUGCCAUGUGCGGCGUGCACAUUCACAGACGGGAUUCAAGAUGGCGAGCCAGACCUAGAACUUCAAUUCAUCUUGUCCAUUGAGGGAGGGACUUUCCCGCGUGUGGUAAUCCCCUGCCAGAGCGGUAGGGAUAUCAGAAACUAGUUUGAACUGAACUAAAAAA
This is a long non-coding RNA of Cyprinodon tularosa, 526 nucleotides long. RefSeq lists it as uncharacterized. Lineage: Eukaryota; Metazoa; Chordata; Actinopteri; Cyprinodontiformes; Cyprinodontidae. The record is from RefSeq and is a predicted model, not a curated record. The transcript is spliced from 2 exons.